Molecule: non-coding RNA, 45 nt
Organism: Schistosoma rodhaini
Lineage: Eukaryota; Metazoa; Platyhelminthes; Trematoda; Strigeidida; Schistosomatidae
Source: Rfam
ACCUAGCUGACGAGUCCUAAUUGGGACGAAACGUGCGUCCAGAAU